This 468-nucleotide ribosomal RNA is filed under the name uncultured bacterium. RNAcentral's name for it is "partial 16S ribosomal RNA". It matches the Rfam family "Bacterial small subunit ribosomal RNA", at positions 28 to 507 of the family's 1533-position model. The record is from RNAcentral.
GACGAACGCUGGCGGCGUGCUUAACACAUGCAAGUCGAACGGAAAGGCCCUGAUUUUGUGGGGUGCUCGAGUGGCGAACGGGUGAGUAACACGUGAGUAACCUGCCCUUGACUUUGGGAUAAAUUCAGGAAAAUGGGGCUAAUACAGGAUAGGAGCUCCUGCAGCAUGGUGGGGGUUGGAAAGUUUCGGCGGUUGGGGAUGGACUCGAGGCUUAUCAGCUUGUUGGUGGGGUAGUGGCUUACCAAGGCUUUGACGGGUAGCCGGCCUGAGAGGGUGACCGGCCACAUUGGGACUGAGGUACGGCCCAGACGCCUACGGGAGGCAGCAGUGGGGAAUAUUGCACAAUGGGCGGAAGCCUGAGGCAGCAACGCCGCGUGCGGGAUGACGUCCUUCUGGUUGUAAACCGCUUUCGCCUGUGACGAAGCGGGAGUGACGGUAAUGGGUAAAGAAGCACCGGCUAACUACGUG